GGCUCAGAACGAACGUUAGCGGCGCGCCUAACACAUGCAAGUCGAGCGAGAAAGGGCUUCGGCCCCGGUACAGCGGCGCACGGGUGAGUAACACGUGGGUGAUCUACCCCUCAGUGGCGGAUAACCCUCCGAAAGGAGGGCUAAUACGGCAUGAGACCACGAUGCUAAGGCAUCGGGGUCAAAGCAGGCCUCUUGAUCAAAGCUUGCGCUGAAGGAUGAGCCCGCGGCCCAUCAGGUAGUUGGUGAGGUAAUGGCCCACCAAGCCUAAGACGGGUAGCUGGUCUGAGAGGAUGAACAGCCACACUGGAACUGAGACACGGUCCAGACUCCUACGGGAGGCAGCAGUGGGGAAUCUUGCGCAAUGGGCGAAAGCCUGACGCAGCGACGCCGCGUGAGCGAUGAAGGCCCUCGGGUUGUAAAGCUCUGUGGGGAGGGACGAAUAAGGUGAAGCUAACACCUUCACUGAUGACGGUACCUCUUUAGCAAGCACCGGCUAACUCUGUGCCAGCAGCCGCGGUAAGACAGAGGGUGCAAACGUUGUUCGGAAUUACUGGGCGUAAAGCGCGUGUAGGCGGUCUCGCAAGUCGGAUGUGAAAUCCCAGGGCUCAACCCUGGAAGAGCACCCGAAACUGCAAGACUAGAGUCCUGGAGAGGAAGGUGGAAUGCUCGGUGUAGAGGUGAAAUUCGUAGAUAUCGAGCGGAACACCAGUGGCGAAGGCGGCCUUCUGGACAGUGACUGACGCUGAGACGCGAAAGCGUGGGGAGCAAACAGGAUUAGAUACCCUGGUAGUCCACGCCGUAAACGAUGAGUGCUAGGUGUCACGGGCUUUGACCCUCGUGGUGCCGAAGCUAACGCGUUAAGCACUCCGCCUGGGAAGUAC
Molecule: ribosomal RNA, 881 nt
Filed under: uncultured bacterium
Lineage: Bacteria
Description: bacterial SSU rRNA
Rfam family: Bacterial small subunit ribosomal RNA
Source: RNAcentral